Molecule: non-coding RNA, 197 nt
Organism: Fukomys damarensis (Damara mole-rat)
Lineage: Eukaryota; Metazoa; Chordata; Mammalia; Rodentia; Bathyergidae
Source: Rfam
AUUGCUUCUUGGACUUUUGGCUAAGAUCAAGUGUAGUACCUGUUCUUAUCAGAUUAAUAAAAAGGUCCAUGAUAAGUUAUUUGCUAGAUGGUCCCAGUGAGGUAAUAUUUUGUUUUGAUAAUCAUUAAUCUAGACAUAGGUUAAUUUAGGAAAGGUGUAAGUCAUUAUUUCUAAAAUUAGGACUCAGUGAGGCUUCA